RNAcentral lists this transfer RNA (39 nucleotides) under Gerrhonotus ophiurus. RNAcentral's name for it is "partial tRNA-Leu". Lineage: Eukaryota; Metazoa; Chordata; Lepidosauria; Squamata; Anguidae. The record is from RNAcentral.
CUUUUAAAGGAUAGUAGCUAUCCGCUGGCUUUAGGCGCC